GACAGAGGGUGCAAACGUUGCUCGGAAUUACUGGGCGUAAAGCGCGUGUAGGCGGGUUUCCAAGUCAGAUGUGAAAUCCCUGGGCUCAACCCAGGAACUGCAUUUGAAACUGGGAGUCUUGAGUAUCGGAGAGGAAAGCGGAAUUCCUGGUGUAGAGGUGAAAUUCGUAGAUAUCAGGAGGAACACCGGUGGCGAAGGCGGCUUUCUGGACGAUAACUGACGCUGAGACGCGAAAGCGUGGGGAGCAAACAGG
This 253-nucleotide ribosomal RNA is filed under the name uncultured bacterium. RNAcentral's name for it is "partial 16S ribosomal RNA". It matches the Rfam family "Bacterial small subunit ribosomal RNA", at positions 524 to 776 of the family's 1533-position model. The record is from RNAcentral.